This is a long non-coding RNA of Sorghum bicolor (sorghum), 938 nucleotides long. RefSeq lists it as uncharacterized. The transcript has 4 exons. The record is from RefSeq and is a predicted model, not a curated record. Lineage: Eukaryota; Viridiplantae; Streptophyta; Magnoliopsida; Poales; Poaceae.
GGAAAGGCUCCACGAGCGAAGAGGCCGGGAGGGUUUCCCGUCGCUCGCGAGUCGCGAGUCGGCUUCCCCUCGCGACGCCGCCGCCUCCGACCACCGCCUCCGACCACCGCCUCCGCCUCUGCCCCGGCAUCCGGCCGUCGCCUCCGCCCCGGCAUCUGGCCGCCGCCUCCGCCCCAGGAUCCAGUCGCUGCCCCAGGUCCCGUCUUUGCUGCCCCGUUGCCUCGCGCCGGUGAACACGCCUCCGCCACCGUGACUUCCCUGGACGGCGCAUCCGGCUCCGCUUCGUUCCACCACCGUCGUUAUCGUCGAUCUUGGAGCUGCUGCUGCCAUCUCAUCUGCAAUUUCGGGCCAGUGGAGGAAGGUCCGCCCCACGCCUAGCUCCACGUGCUGCUCCAGUGAGGAAUCCACCACAGCAAGUGCAGGUAUAUUGUUUGAAUAUGCCCUUCUAUGUAGAUCUUCGUAAUUUGCAAUUUGCUUGCUGUGGCACUAGAUUUCUGUUUUCUGGGAAACACAUGACAAUUGUGUUUAGGAUUACACUAGUGGUUUCCUUUAAAUUCUAAAAGUAAAGGUCAAUUACACAAUUACAAAGGAUGUUGCAAGCUAAUUCUAGUUCUAUAUGCUGUGACUAGAAUGAUAGUUCUGAACAUUCUCACGAAUACCAUCAAUAUCUACUGGAGGAGCAGCGAUGAAGGCGAUAAUAAAUACGGAAGUUGCGGUCAAUAAGGUAGGGAUCAUCAAAACACCGAACCAUCCAAUGUAAAGACGGUUUUCGGUGCUAGUUAUCCAGUUGCAGAAGCGACCCCACAGGCUUGUACUUUCGCGUCUCUCUAAAAUUGCACUCAUGGUAAGAUCUUGGUUUAUUCAAAUUGCAAGGACUCCCAAGCACACGUAUUAACUAGAAAGAAAAUAGAUAAUAGAAGGCUUGUUAUUUAACAGUA